Molecule: long non-coding RNA, 618 nt
Filed under: Phoenix dactylifera (date palm)
Lineage: Eukaryota; Viridiplantae; Streptophyta; Magnoliopsida; Arecales; Arecaceae
Description: long non-coding RNA (PDAC_LNC008284)
Source: RNAcentral
GGUGGAAAUCACUCCUUUUUUAUUUUUUCCCAAAAAGACCCUUCAACAUUAAAGAAGCAUUAAAGAGGCAUUAAAGAACUAAUUUUUAUUAAGGGCAUAAUAGGAAUUAUACAUAACUUUUCUAGGAAAGUGGAUGGUCAACCAAACAUAAGCACUUUGGAAAUUUGUCACUUUCCCAUGGUUAACCAAACAUGCCAAAAAUACUUUCCUAGGUAUCCUCUUCCUAGGAAUCUGAUUUCCAGGAAUCAUAUUCCUAUGAGGGAAAAUACUUCCCGCGAACCAAACGAGCCCUAAAUAAAUUAAUUUAUUAAGAUGCCCAAGCAACUCAAUAAAGUCAGUGAAAAAGUCACACAGCCGGUGUGGUGUAUUGUCAUCGCCUGCAAUCGCGGAGUGUGCUAUUAAGGGGCGAGGUGAUUGCCUCCGGAUCAAAGAUAUUGUGGAUGGAGGUGAUGAGAUCUGGUUGCACUAGGAGUGGCUUUUUUUAGUGGUUUUCCUGAGUUAUCGCAGCAUCAGUCAUUAGUAAAUUAUAAUAAGCAAAACCUGGCAAUCUUCUCUAACAGGGAGGUUACCGUACUUUGAACAAGACGGCAUCCGCCGGAGGGAUGUGCUCGAACAUGU